GCUGGGUGCUGUGGCCGGUGCCAGUAGUCCCAGCUACUCCAGAGGCUAAAGCAGGAGGAUUGCUUGAGUCUAGGAGUUCUGGGGUGUAAUUUGCUAUGGUGACUUGGGUGUCCUUCUGUGAGCAGGGGACCACCAGGUUGCAUAAGGAGGGGUGGACUGGUCCAGGUUGGAAACGGAGCAGGUCAAAACUUCCUUACUAAUCAGGAGCGGAAUCAUGCUUGUGAAAAGCCAUUAUACUCUAGCCUGGGCAACAUAGUGAGACCCCAUCUCUU
This is a non-coding RNA of Otolemur garnettii (small-eared galago), 272 nucleotides long. Lineage: Eukaryota; Metazoa; Chordata; Mammalia; Primates; Galagidae. The record is from Rfam.